AUGCACGCUGGCGGCGUGCCUCAUCCCUGCCAGUCGAGCGCACAGAUGAGGAGCUUGCUCCUCUGACGUUAGCGGCGGACGGGUGAGUAACACGUGGAUAACCUACCUAUAAGACUGGGAUAACUUCGGGAAACCGGAGCUAAUACCGGAUAAUAUAUUGAACCGCAUGGUUCAAUAGUGAAAGACGGUUUUGCUGUCACUUAUAGAUGGAUCCGCGCCGCAUUAGCUAGUUGGUAAGGUAACGGCUUACCAAGGCAACGAUGCGUAGCCGACCUGAGAGGGUGAUCGGCCACACUGGAACUGAGACACGGUCCAGACUCCUACGGGAGGCAGCAGUAGGGAAUCUUCCGCAAUGGGCGAAAGCCUGACGGAGCAACGCCGCGUGAGUGAUGAAGGUCUUCGGAUCGUAAAACUCUGUUAUUAGGGAAGAACAAAUGUGUAAGUAACUAUGCACGUCUUGACGGUACCUAAUCAGAAAGCCACGGCUAACUACGUG
This 496-nucleotide ribosomal RNA is filed under the name uncultured bacterium. RNAcentral describes it as "partial 16S ribosomal RNA". It matches the Rfam family "Bacterial small subunit ribosomal RNA", at positions 29 to 507 of the family's 1533-position model. The record is from RNAcentral.